GGCAGGCUUAACACAUGCAAGUCGAGCGGAUGAAAGUAGCUUGCUACUGGAUUCAGCGGCGGACGGGUGAGUAAUGCUUAGGAAUCUGCCUAUUAGUGGGGGACAACGUUCCGAAAGGAGCGCUAAUACCGCAUACGUCCUACGGGAGAAAGCAGGGGACCUUCGGGCCUUGCGCUAAUAGAUGAGCCUAAGUCGGAUUAGCUAGUUGGUAGGGUAAAGGCCUACCAAGGCGACGAUCUGUAGCGGGUCUGAGAGGAUGAUCCGCCACACUGGGACUGAGACACGGCCCAGACUCCUACGGGAGGCAGCAGUGGGGAAUAUUGGACAAUGGGGGGAACCCUGAUCCAGCCAUGCCGCGUGUGUGAAGA
RNAcentral lists this ribosomal RNA (368 nucleotides) under Acinetobacter radioresistens WC-A-157. Its description in RNAcentral is "bacterial SSU rRNA". It matches the Rfam family "Bacterial small subunit ribosomal RNA", at positions 41 to 411 of the family's 1533-position model. The record is from RNAcentral. Lineage: Bacteria; Pseudomonadati; Pseudomonadota; Gammaproteobacteria; Moraxellales; Moraxellaceae.